CCUACGGGAGGCAGCAGUGAGGAAUAUUGGUCAAUGGGCGCGAGCCUGACCCAGCCAAGUAGCGUGAAGGAUGACUGCCCUACGGGUUGUAAACUUCUUUUAUAAAGGAAUAAAGUGAGGCACGUGUGCCUUUUUGUAUGUACUUUAUGAAUAAGGAUCGGCUAACUCAGUGCCAGCAGCCGCGGUAAUACGGAGGAUCCGAGCGUUAUCCGGAUUUAUUGGGUUUAAAGGGAGCGUAGAUGGGUUGUUAAGUCAGUUGUGAAAGUUCCCGGCUCAACCGUACAAUUGCAUUUGAUACUGGCAGGCUAGAGUACAGUUGAGGUAGGUGGAAUUCGUGGUGUAGCGGUGAAAUGCGUAGAGAUCACGAAGAACUCCGAAUGCGAAGGCAGCUUAUUAAACUUCCACUGACAUUGAUGCGCGAAAGUGUGGGGAUCAAACAGGAUUAGAUACCCGAGUAGUC
RNAcentral lists this ribosomal RNA (460 nucleotides) under uncultured bacterium. RNAcentral describes it as "partial 16S ribosomal RNA". It matches the Rfam family "Bacterial small subunit ribosomal RNA", at positions 338 to 795 of the family's 1533-position model. The record is from RNAcentral.